ACGGGAGGCAGCAGUGGGGAAUAUUGCGCAAUGGGGGAAACUCUGACGCAGCGACGCCGCGUGAGUGAAGAAGUAUUUCGGUAUGUAAAGCUCUAUCAGCAGGGAAGAUAAUGACGGUACCUGACUAAGAAGCACCGGCUAAAUACGUGCCAGCAGCCGCGGUAAUACGUAUGGUGCAAGCGUUAUCCGGAUUUACUGGGUGUAAAGGGAGCGUAGGUGGUUUGGCAAGCCAGAGGUGAAAACCCGGGGCUCAACUCCGGGAUUGCCUUUGGAACUGUUGGACUAGAGUGCAGGAGGGGUAAGUGGAAUUCCCAGUGUAGCGGUGAAAUGCGUAGAUAUUGGGAGGAACACCGGUGGCGAAGGCGGCUUACUGGACUGUAACUGACACUGAGGCUCGAAAGCGUGGGGAGCAAACAGGAUUAGAUACCCUGGUA
RNAcentral lists this ribosomal RNA (434 nucleotides) under uncultured Lachnospiraceae bacterium. RNAcentral's name for it is "partial 16S ribosomal RNA". It matches the Rfam family "Bacterial small subunit ribosomal RNA", at positions 341 to 792 of the family's 1533-position model. Lineage: Bacteria; Bacillati; Bacillota; Clostridia; Lachnospirales; Lachnospiraceae. The record is from RNAcentral.